UAUACACACAAUGCCAGAAUUAAAAUUGUUUCAGUAGAAUCCUUCAAUUGUAUUCUGUAUGAUAUAAGCUCUUGGGAAUUGUAACAAUAUCAAAUUGACCAAAUGCAAUUUUUAUUAUUGUAAUUUGAUUACAUUGACAACCGUAAUUGUUUCAAUACAUAGCAGUUAUAAAUCCUCCCAACAAAUCGCAACCGUGUAACUUAGAUAUAAUGUUACACAAGUGUCAGAAAUGGUACAUGUAAUAUUAAUUUGUAAUGAUAAAUAUAAUGUACUAGUAUGAUUCUAUGUCAACAACUUUGAAUAUAAUAUUUGUAUAUCGGAAAUAUAUCAAUAAUAUAUUACCGUAAUGUAAUACAUAAACGUCCUUUAUAUAUAUUUUAUAUGUAAAAAAGACGUUUAUAUGUAAAAAAGACAACAGUGUUGUUAACUUUGAUGGACUACAUUUUCUUAUUUUCAGCGUUAAAGUAGGUACAAUAGUGAUAAAAAUUGAUGCUAUGAUAACAUUUAAUUUUGAAUCGAUUGUGAGCAAUUUGCAGAGCUGUAUUCGGGGAGACAUUAGAGCUAUUUGAGUCAUUCCAUCUAUAUUGUUUAUUAGAUGUAAAACAAGGAUAGGAUGACACUAAAAACGCUAAUAGCAUUUCGCUGAAUGUACCCCUGACGACUGGAAGUUGAAUAAAUUCAAUUACAUAUAUGUAUAAUCUAAUAUACAUUUGAAUAUGGCCGCAUCUGGUAUGAUCUGAUAUCUGCGGCGCAGAUUCUACACAGAGUUGUACGAAAAUCUCAAGAAUGAGCUGAAUGAGCAGUAUUUGGCUGCACUUGGUUUUUUCCAACAUGGACGCGACCUUUUACUAAUAUUUAUCUUUUCUGUAUCUUUCAUUAUUUUUUAUUAUUAUAACAAGCCAUUGUGAGUCAGCCUCGUGUAGAAACAUAAUGGUAAACAUUUUUAUUAAUCCUUCACACCGGAGUCAAAAUGACCCUAGAGCGUAUUUAACCUAUUAUCAUAUUCAUAGUUAUCGUUUUGAAGACAAAAAAAAUUUAUGUUAAGUGCGCUCCGAGGUCAUUCUGAUCCCUAUGUGAUUAUUACAACAUUAGUUCAACUUUUAAAGAGAUAUGAUUAUGAAAGGUUAAAAUAAAAUGAGUAUAGCGCCUUAA
Acromyrmex echinatior (Panamanian leafcutter ant) is the source of this 1152-nucleotide long non-coding RNA. The record is from RefSeq and is a predicted model, not a curated record. Lineage: Eukaryota; Metazoa; Arthropoda; Insecta; Hymenoptera; Formicidae.